AGAGAAGAGCUCUCCUCAUAUUUCUGCUCCAAGAAUUUUAAUUUGAUUCAUCAAGAACCUGUGAAAUAAGGGAGAUGCUUGGGUUCUCUCCUAGGUGGAGAUAAUAAGGGCUGGAGGGAUUGUUGAUUUGAUCCGUACUUGCGGUGUUAGACAUAAUUGGCAGCGGUAAAGAAAAGAUCCAAGAAACCAAGAAAGAAAAUGAACGUGCCAGAAACCAAGGCAGAACAGGUUCAAAACCUGUUCUGAUACCAUAUUAAAACCGGCCCAAACAUAAUGACUGAGGCCCAACGUCUCUGGCCCAAUAUGUGAAAGAAUAUCUUCCUCGAGAAGCUUCCUUAGGUCAGAUGAUAGGUGAACUCGAGCACUGUGAGUGAUGUGAAGAAAACGAA
This 389-nucleotide long non-coding RNA is filed under the name Vigna radiata. Its description in RNAcentral is "long non-coding RNA (VRAD_LNC005495)". Lineage: Eukaryota; Viridiplantae; Streptophyta; Magnoliopsida; Fabales; Fabaceae. The record is from RNAcentral.